GAUGAAGAACGUAGCGAAAUGCGAUAAGUAAUGUGAAUUGCAGAAUUCAGUGAAUCAUCGAAUCUUUGAACGCACAUUGCGCCCGCCAGUAUUCUGGCGGGCAUGCCGGUUCGAGCGUCAUUUCAACCAUCAAGCCCUGCUUGCGUUGGGGUCCUGCGGCUGCCCGCAGGCCCUGAAAACCAGUGGCGGGCUCGCUAGUCACACCGAGCGCAGUAAUACAUCUCGCUUUGGGCGUGCGGCGGGUUCUUGCCGUUAAACACCCCCUUUUUACCAAGGUUGACCUCGGAUCAGGUAGGAAUACCCGCUGAACUUAAGCAUAUCAAUAAGCGGAGGA
This 334-nucleotide unclassified non-coding RNA is filed under the name soil metagenome. RNAcentral's name for it is "partial contains 5.8S ribosomal RNA, internal transcribed spacer 2, and large subunit ribosomal RNA". The stretch from base 1 to 120 matches the Rfam family "5.8S ribosomal RNA", at positions 35 to 154 of the family's 154-position model. The record is from RNAcentral.